UACGUAGGGUGCAAGCGUUAAUCGGAAUUACUGGGCGUAAAGCGUGCGCAGGCGGCUUUGCAAGACAGAUGUGAAAUCCCCGGGCUUAACCUGGGAACUGCAUUUGUGACUGCAUGGCUGGAGUGCGGCAGAGGGGGAUGGAAUUCCGCGUGUAGCAGUGAAAUGCGUAGAUAUCGGGAGGAACACCAGUGGCGAAGGCGGGUACCUGGGCCUAUACUGACACUAAGACGCGAAAGUUAGGGGAGCAAACAGG
RNAcentral lists this ribosomal RNA (253 nucleotides) under uncultured bacterium. RNAcentral's name for it is "partial 16S ribosomal RNA". It matches the Rfam family "Bacterial small subunit ribosomal RNA", at positions 524 to 776 of the family's 1533-position model. The record is from RNAcentral.